GUCGAACGGUAACAGGUCUUUCGGGAUGCUGACGAGUGGCGGACGGGUGAGGAAUACAUCGGAAUCUGCUCAGUCGUGGGGGAUAACGCAUGGAAACGUGCGCUAAUACCGCAUACGACCUUCGGGUGAAAGCAGGGGAAUCUCUCGGGAUCCUUGCGCGAUUGAAUGAGCCGAUGUCGGAUUAGCUAGUUGGUAGGGUAAAAGCCUACCAAGGCCACGAUCCGUAGCUGGUCUGAGAGGAUGAUCAGCCACACUGGGACUGAGACACGGCCCAGACUCCUGCGGGAGGCAGCAGUGGGGAAUAUUGGACAAUGGGGGCAACCCUGAUCCAGCCAUACCGCGUGGGUGAAGAAGGCCUUCUGGGUUGUAAAGCCCUUUUGUUGGGGAAGAAAAACAACGGGUUAAUACCCCGUUGGUAUGACGGUACCCAAAGAAUAAGCACCGGCUAACUUCGUGCCAGCAGCCGCGGUAAUACGAAGGGUGCAAGCGUUACUCGGAAUUACUGGGCGUAAAGGGUGCGUAGGUGGUUGCGCCAGUCUGUCGUGAAAGCCCUGGGCUUAACCUGGGAAUGGCGAUGGAAACUGUGCAACUAGAGUGUGACAGAGGGUGGUGGAAUUCCUGGUGUAGCAGUGAAAUGCGUAGAGAUCAGGAGGAACAUUCGUGGCGAAGGCGGCCACCUGGGUCAACACUGACACUGAGGCACGAAAGCGUGGGGAGCAAACAGGACUAGAUACCCUGGUAGUCCACGCCCUAAACGAUGCGAACUGGAUGUUGGGUCCAACUUGGGAUUCAGUAUCGAAGCUAACGCGUUAAGUUCGCCGCCU
Molecule: ribosomal RNA, 824 nt
Filed under: uncultured Lysobacterales bacterium
Lineage: Bacteria; Pseudomonadati; Pseudomonadota; Gammaproteobacteria; Lysobacterales
Description: bacterial SSU rRNA
Rfam family: Bacterial small subunit ribosomal RNA
Source: RNAcentral